Molecule: ribosomal RNA, 464 nt
Filed under: uncultured bacterium
Lineage: Bacteria
Description: partial 16S ribosomal RNA
Rfam family: Bacterial small subunit ribosomal RNA
Source: RNAcentral
GAUGAACGCUGGCGGCGUGCUUAACACAUGCAAGUCGAACGGAAAGGCCCAAGCUUGCUUGGGUACUCGAGUGGCGAACGGGUGAGUAACACGUGGGUGAUCUGCCCUGCACUUCGGGAUAAGCCUGGGAAACUGGGUCUAAUACCGGAUAGGACCACAUUUUGGAUGGUGUGGUGGAAAGUUUUCGGUGUGGGAUGAGCUCGCGGCCUAUCAGCUUGUUGGUGGGGUAAUGGCCUACCAAGGCGUCGACGGGUAGCCGGCCUGAGAGGGUGUACGGCCACAUUGGGACUGAGAUACGGCCCAGACUCCUACGGGAGGCAGCAGUGGGGAAUAUUGCACAAUGGGCGCAAGCCUGAUGCAGCGACGCCGCGUGGGGGAUGACGGCCUUCGGGUUGUAAACUCCUUUCGCUAGGGACGAAGCGCAAGUGACGGUACCUGGAGAAGAAGCACCGGCUAACUACGUG